RNAcentral lists this ribosomal RNA (850 nucleotides) under uncultured bacterium. Its description in RNAcentral is "bacterial SSU rRNA". It matches the Rfam family "Bacterial small subunit ribosomal RNA", at positions 40 to 861 of the family's 1533-position model. The record is from RNAcentral.
CGGCGUGCAAACACAUGCAAGUCGAGCGAGAAAGUUCCCUUCGGGGAGCGAGUAAAGCGGCGCACGGGUGAGUAACACGUAGGUAAUCUACCUCAAGGUCUGGAAUAACUGGAGGAAACUCUAGCUAAUGCCGGAUAAGACCACAGCCUCUUCGGGGGCGGUGGCCAAAGGCGGCCUCUUCUUGAAAGCUGUCGCCAUGGGAUGAGCCUGCGGCCCAUUAGCUUGUUGGUAAGGUAACGGCUUACCAAGGCUUUGAUGGGUAGCUGGUCUGAGAGGAUGAUCAGCCACACUGGGACUGAGACACGGCCCAGACUCCUACGGGAGGCAGCAGUGGGGAAUAUUGCGCAAUGGGGGAAACCCUGACGCAGCGACGCCGCGUGAGUGAUGAAGGCCUUCGGGUCGUAAAGCUCUGUCGUAAGGGAAGAACGUGCUGCAGGUUAAUACCCUGCAGCAGUGACGGUACCUUACAAGAAAGCACCGGCUAACUCCGUGCCAGCAGCCGCGGUAAUACGGAGGGUGCAAGCGUUGUUCGGAAUUACUGGGCGUAAAGGGCUCGUAGGCGGCUCAGCAAGUCGAUCGUGAAAACCCGAGGCUCAACCUCGGGACGCCGGUCGAUACUGCUGUGGCUAGGGUCCGGUAGAGGAGAAUGGAAUUCCCGGUGUAGCGGUGAAAUGCGCAGAUAUCGGGAGGAACACCAGUAGCGAAGGCGGUUCUCUGGGCCGGUACCGACGCUGAGGAGCGAAAGCGUGGGGAGCAAACAGGAUUAGAUACCCUGAUAGUCCACGCUGUAAACGUUGGGCACUGGGUGUGGCGGAUUUAUCAACGUCUGCUGUGCCGAAGCUAACGCGUU